UGAAUACGAGACGCUACGGCGUCGAAGCAGUCUAUGUCAUACUUCCAAGAAAAGCUCGCAAUGUCAUAAACAAAUAAUGCCUGUACCAUAACCGACACAGGUGGGUAGGUAGAGUAUACUAAGGGGCGCGAGAUAACUCUCUCUAAGGAACUCGGCAAAAUGACUCCGUAACUUCGGGAGAAGGAGUGCCUUAUUUAUAAGGUUGCAAUAACAAGAUCCAAGCAACUGUUUAUCAAAAACACAGGUCUCCGCUAAGUCGUAAGACGAUGUAUGGGGGCUGACGCCUGCCCAGUGCCAGAAGGUUAAAGAAGUUGGUUAGCAUUCGCGAAGCUGAUAACUGAAGCCCUGGUGAACGGCGGCCGUAACGAUAACGGUCCUAAGGUAGCGAAAUUCCUUGUCGGGUAAGUUCCGACCCGCACGAAAGGCGUAAUGAUUUGGAUACUGUCUCGGAGAGGGGCUCGGUGAAAUAGACUUGUCUGUGAAGAUGCGGACUACCUGCACCUGGACAGAAAGACCCUAUGAAGCUUUACUGUAACUUGAAAUUGAAAUUGGACUUUAUUUGCGCAGCAUAGGUGGGAGGCGUUGAGAGUAUUCUUGCGGGAAUAUUGGAGCCAUCAGUGAGAUACCACUCUUGUAAUGUUAGAUUUCUAACUUUGGGUCAUUAUCUGGUCAAAGAACAGUUUCAGGCGGGCAGUUUGACUGGGGCGGUCGCCUCCCAAAUGGUAACGGAGGCGUACAAAGGUUUCCUCUGAACGGGUAGAAAUCGUAUCUAGAGUGUAAAGGCAUAAGGAAGCUUGACUGUGAGACCUACAAGUCGAGCAGGGACGAAAGUCGGUCUUAGUGAUCUGACGGUGCUGAGUGGAAAGGCCGUCACUCAACGGAUAAAAGUUACUCUAAGGAUAACAGGCUGAUCUCCCCCAAGAGUUCACAUCGACGGGGAGGUUUGGCACCUCGAUGUCGGCUCAUCGCAUCCUGGGGCGGUAGUACGUCCCAAGGGUUGGGCUGUUCGCCCAUGAAAGCGGUACGCGAGCUGGGUUCAGAACGUCGUGAGACAGUUCGGUCCAUAUCCGGUGUAGGCGUUAGAAUAUUGAGAGGAGCCUUCUUUAGUACGAGAGGACCGAGAAGGACAUACCCCCUGGUGUACCAGUUAUCGUGCCAACGGUAAACGCUGGGUAGCUAUGUAUGGAGAGGAUAACCGCUGAAAGCAUCUAAGUGGGAAGCCCACCUCAAGAUAAGUAUUCC
RNAcentral lists this ribosomal RNA (1242 nucleotides) under metagenome. RNAcentral describes it as "bacterial LSU rRNA". It matches the Rfam family "Bacterial large subunit ribosomal RNA", at positions 1564 to 2814 of the family's 2925-position model. The record is from RNAcentral.